This 253-nucleotide ribosomal RNA is filed under the name uncultured bacterium. RNAcentral's name for it is "partial 16S ribosomal RNA". It matches the Rfam family "Bacterial small subunit ribosomal RNA", at positions 524 to 776 of the family's 1533-position model. The record is from RNAcentral.
UACAGAGGUCCCAAGCGUUGUUCGGAUUUAUUGGGCGUAAAGGGUGCGUAGGCGGCGGGGCAAGUCAGGUGUGAAAUCUCGGGGCUCAGCCCCGAAACUGCACUUGAUACUGCCUUGCUCGAGUACUGGAGAGGAGACUGGAAUUUACGGUGUAGCAGUGAAAUGCGUAGAUAUCGUAAGGAAGACCAGUGGCGAAGGCGAGUCUCUGGACAGUUACUGACGCUGAGGCACGAAGGCCAGGGGAGCAAACGGG